RNAcentral lists this long non-coding RNA (1156 nucleotides) under Mus musculus (house mouse). RNAcentral describes it as "long non-coding RNA chr16:24773169-24774325". The record is from RNAcentral. Lineage: Eukaryota; Metazoa; Chordata; Mammalia; Rodentia; Muridae.
UUUUUUUUGUGUGUGUGUGUGUGUGCCAGGAUUACACAGGAAAUGAUGAAAUUUCUCUUUCAGCUCAUAUUCUAGUCUUAAUAUUAAUUUUAUUAUAGAGAGACAGUAAGACAAUGAUAAGCAGUUAUCCCUGCUCUGAUUCAUGAUAAACUGUCUAGUUAUCCUGACUCUCCUUUGCCCUUGACCCUUUGCCUUCUUCAAGUCAGACAGACUCCUGGACUGAAUUUGCCUUGGUGAUACUUUUCAUGGCUGUGGUGUCAGGAGUUAAGGAUUAAAGUGACCCACUGAGGGAGAGUCUUUGAAGAAAUGACAUUUGGACCAAUGCUGAAAGGAUAGGGUGUAUUAGUUCUAUGUUGGGAAUGAAAACUGUCACAGGCAAAAGAAACAAGGGUGACUUCAGGUCCCCUGGGCUUGGCGUUUACAGGGACAGAAGGAGGGAGGUGAAGCUUUGCCAUUAGAGGAGAAUAGAGUAAAAUGGCGGGGCCAUGCCCCACCCCCAACCCCAGCACUCUGCACAGUUUUCUUGAGGGGACAGUUUAACUGGGAAGGGCCCUUAGCAUGCACGCAGCAGUGUGCUCAGUGAGCUCAGACUGGAGGUUAGGUGGGGUGAAAGGAAGAAAAAGAACCAAGUUAGCACAGGCAUUUUCUCUGCCUAACUUCUCCUCAGCAUGGUGGACUGAAGCUAUGAAACUAUGAGCUGAGGAAGUCCUUCCCACUCAGGUUGCGUUUGCCAGAUAUUUUUUGAUGCAUUUAUUUAAAAAAAAAAAAAGAAUCCCCUUUGUAUGGAUUUGGCAAGCUCUCAGGAUUCGAGCAUCUGCUCACUUGUUCCCCUUCCUGAUUCAUGAAUGGCUCCUCACCCUAGAAUCCCCACUUUUGAAGGAACUAGGUCUUUUCUACCAGAGUCAGAUAUGAUUGAGUGUAGAUCAUGCUAAGCAAGAAACCUGAGUACCGAGGGGAGUACCUCUCAGGGACAGUGCUGAAGAGCCCCCGGAUGUGCUAGGGCGUUUCCAUGGGAUGCUCUCUUCUACUGUGGGCCUUUGGUCGCUCUGCAAGUGUGUGUGGAUUCUACUUAGACCUUGAAUUUUUACUUUGUAGCAUAUUGAGACUCAGGGAAAUUAGACCAAAGACUUUACCCUUCCUUACCUAUUACAUUUUU